RNAcentral lists this small RNA (28 nucleotides) under Bombyx mori (domestic silkworm). Its description in RNAcentral is "ovarian small RNA-4109". The record is from RNAcentral. Lineage: Eukaryota; Metazoa; Arthropoda; Insecta; Lepidoptera; Bombycidae.
UUGAAUGGAAUACUGUACAAAAUCAAGA